UACGUAGGCGGAUCAGAAAGUAUGGGGUGAAAUCCCAGGGCUCAACCCUGGAACUGCCUCAUAAACUCCUGGUCUAGAGUUCGAGAGAGGUGAGUGGAAUUCCGAGUGUAGAGGUGAAAUUCGUAGAUAUUCGGAGGAACACCAGUGGCGAAGGCGGCUCACUGGCUCGAUACUGACGCUGAGGUACGAAAGUGUGGGGAGCAAACAGGAUUAGAUACCCUGGUAGUCC
Molecule: ribosomal RNA, 229 nt
Filed under: uncultured bacterium
Lineage: Bacteria
Description: partial 16S ribosomal RNA
Rfam family: Bacterial small subunit ribosomal RNA
Source: RNAcentral